AAUAAAGCCAAGGCGAAAUCACACGAGUCCCUAUUCCACUCGAUAAGGAAGUCGAAGCAUCAACAUUCAACCGGACACUCCCUCCAACCGGCGGCAACCAUCGGGCGUUCCUCUCACCGUCGUCAUAAAAAAUGCAUCCAGUCACCCUUUCCACGCCUCUCUUCGGAUGAAACUGCUGACAAAAAUCUAAAAAAUAGGUCACCACCUUGUCGGGCAAUCUCGUCAGAUCUCGCACUGGUCUAUCCCAAAGGACGGCGUUCCGGUCAGUCCACAAACGCCAACACCCCACACAAAACUUCUCCAACUCAGUUCACGACAACUCCGCAGUUCGGAAGCAAAUUUCUUCAAACGAAGCACCCACCCCAUCAAUUUUCAUCACAGGAUGAUGGAACGCCCUCCAAAGAUAGAAUGCUCGUUUACGACUAAAAAAGGAGCAAGUGAAUCAAAUCCAUGAUAGUGAGGUAUCUUCACUAUCCCAAUCAAUUAUUUGGAUUUGGGGUGGAUCAAGAUACUCUGGUCUACUGUGUGCUUCUCUAUCCUCCAUCUUCUACUUUGCCAUGGAAGUUCUGAUGGGUGUUUUUUCUAGUUGUGUCUAUUUUUGUAGCUAUCGCAGAAAUCGAACGCAUGCGGUGCGUACAUCGCAUGGAAGUUGCGGCCAUCAACCGAAUGCAUCCAUCGCAUGGAAGUUGCAGCUAUCUUCAUCACUUGGAGAUUGCGGCCACGGAGUGAUGACCUAAAUAGAAGUGUGACCGUAAGAUGGGUGGAAUGCAUUGAUACUUCAGUUGAAUCAAGCUCGAACGUAUACUUUAGGAGUAUCAAUAAGAUAAGAUGAUGUGAUAUUGCCCAUAUCGCGACAAAGGCAGCAGCGAGACAUAACGCAAUCAUGAUUGCUGUCAGCGUUUGAACUCUAUAAAUAGCCCUUGGACCUUCACUUCAAAUCAUCAGAAUUUCUGCCUUCAGGUAGAGGUUUGCGAUCACAUAUGAGAUCAUGAGCGAGAUUUUCGUGAGGAUUCUUCAUCCCCAUAAACCAGUCCGAGUGACGAUCGGAGCUUUUGCCGGAGAUAGAGCUCGAGAGAGACGUCUCCACCAUCCAUCCAUGGCACCACUAGCAGUUUUGAUGCAGAGUCUUUCAUUUCUUCUUUGAUCUCUAUAUCGU
Molecule: non-coding RNA, 1156 nt
Organism: Benincasa hispida (wax gourd)
Lineage: Eukaryota; Viridiplantae; Streptophyta; Magnoliopsida; Cucurbitales; Cucurbitaceae
Source: RefSeq, a predicted model, not a curated record